This is a long non-coding RNA of Cucurbita maxima (winter squash), 346 nucleotides long. RefSeq lists it as uncharacterized. The record is from RefSeq and is a predicted model, not a curated record. The transcript is spliced from 2 exons. NCBI's taxonomy places the organism in Eukaryota, Viridiplantae, Streptophyta, Magnoliopsida, Cucurbitales, Cucurbitaceae.
UUACUAAAUAUUCAUAAAUUUGAUUCACAUAAUAAGAUCUUUAGCAAGUCAAAGCAUCAUGAUCCCUGCAGAUUGACCAACUUCAUUUUUAAAAAAAGGGGUAAAAAAAUUGAAGGGCAUCUGUUUGACUGUUGUGGAAAUCAGAAAUGGUGAAGAGGAGAGAGAGAGAAAGAGAGAGAGAGAGGGAGAGGAGGGAGAGAGAGGAUAAAACGCAAUAUGUGGAGUAUUGGAAGCCUUAGAAAUACGAAGGUACAACAAAAGGGUAAAAGGGGGUGCGGUUGACUCUCAAUCGCCCGUUCCCAAACCCUCUGAAAAUGGCAUCAUACACUUACAGUUACAGUGGUGA